RNAcentral lists this ribosomal RNA (3420 nucleotides) under Ambystoma mexicanum (axolotl). RNAcentral describes it as "eukaryotic LSU rRNA". The stretch from base 593 to 3420 matches the Rfam family "Eukaryotic large subunit ribosomal RNA". Lineage: Eukaryota; Metazoa; Chordata; Amphibia; Caudata; Ambystomatidae. The record is from RNAcentral.
ACUCAGCCAAUCGUGAAAAGUGCGGCUUGGGUUUCCUAGGAUACCCUGUGCAGGGGGUGACUACACUCCUCCCUCACAUUCAGCCCACCUAGACACCCAGGCGCCUUGAGGAGGGCUUCUUGGCAGAAGCUCGCCAAAAGACAGUGAACAAAGAAGGCAAACCUGGUUUGCCGCGCAAAGUAAAACACAAGGAGGAGUUUAACAAAAAGAAAUGGCGAAUAAACCGCACCGGAACCAAAAGAAAAAGCAUUUGGUCAAGCGGGUUUAAGUUUGAUGCUAAUACAAUAGCUACAAUAUUACCACGGUUAUAGAAGAUAACCGCGGUAGAAAAUUAGGGUAGAUACCACUGCCAUCAGCCAUGUCGAAAUGUUAAAAGAGAAAAAACAAUGCUCUAGGAGGUACAGAUUAAAAAGGGGCUAAGAAUUAACCCUUCCAGUACUCCAUGUAAGUUGGGGUGUACUGGAUCUGUGGUUAAUUUGGUUAAUGGCAACUUUACCCUUUUCUGGGGACAGUAGUCAGCCUCAGAAAUGGAGUCGGUGGGCAGUCUGAAUGACAACCCUGGGUACUGAAGUGGUGUACCCGAGAGUCCACAACUUACAAAAACAGGUAAAAACACAUAGCAAAACACAAGUAAGAGUUGGGGAAAAGCUCACACUCUUACCAAGUGGAAGGAAUAACUCCAAAGAUCCAGCAAAGCUGCUGAGGGACUCCCUAGGUAAGGAAAUUAGCCAUGAAAUAAGAAUUCUCCCUAACGCCCUCCACCGACCCGUCUCGCCCACUCUGUCAGAGAGAUGAUGAUGAGCGUGUGUGAUAGGACCCGAAAGAUGGUGAACUCGGCCAGGUGGAGGUCCGUAGCGGUCCUGAUGUGUAAAUUGGUCAUCCGACCUGGGUAUUGGGGCAAAAGCCUAAUCGAACAAUAUAGUAGCUGGUUCUCUCCGAAGUUUCCCUCAGGAUAGCUGGCGCAUGGAAACCCCAGUUUUAUCUAGCAAAGCGAAUGAUUAGAGGUCUUGGGGCCAAAAUUCUCUCAACCUUUAAAUGAGUAUGAAGCCCGGCUCGCUGGCGUGGAGCUUGGUAUUGUAUGAAAGUUCUCAGUGGGCAACGUUUUUGUUGAGCAGAACUGGCGCUGCGGAUGAACCGCACCCCGGGUUAAGGCGCGUGUUGCAAAUGCUCAUCAGACACCAGAAACGGUGUUGGUUGAUAUAGACAGCAGGAUGGUGGCCAUGGAAGACGGAAUCCACUAAGGAGUGUGUAACAACUCACCUGCCGAAUCAACUAGCCCUGAAAAUGGAUGGCGUUGCAGCAUCAGGCCCAUAACCGGCCGCCUCUGAGAGCCGCGGGGGCUAAGGCGAGUAGGAGGGCAGCUGUGGUACGCACGGAAGCCCGGGGCGAGGGCCCAGGUGGAGCCGCCGCAGGUGCAGAUCUUGGUUGUAGUAGCAAAUAUUCAAACGAGAACUCUGAAGGAUGAAGUGGAGAAGGGUUCCAUGUGAACAGAAGUUGAAUAUGGGUCAGUCGGUCUAAGAGAUGGGCGAGUGCCGUUCGGAAGGGAUGGGCUAUGGCCUCCGUUGCCCUCAGCCGAUCGACAGGGAGUCGGGUUCAGAUCCCCGAACCCCGAGUGGCAGAGACGGGCGCUCUUCGGGAUCCAGUGCGGUAACGCAAAUGAUCCCAGAGAAGCCGGCGGGAGCCGCACAGAGAGUUCUCUUCUUUGUGAAGGGCAGGGCACCCUGGAAUGGGUUUGCCCCGAGAAAGGGGACUGAGCCUUGGAAGGCGUUGCGGUUCCGGCAGUGUCCGGUGAGCUCUCCCUGGUCCUUGAAAAUCUUGGUGAGAUGUUGUAAAUCUCGCGCCAGGCCGUACCCAUAUCCGCAGCAUGUCUCCAAGCCGGACAACCUCUGGCAUGUCAGAACAAUGUAGGUACGGGAAGUCGGAAAGUUAGAUCAGUAACUUCGGGAUAUUGAUUGGCUCCAAGGGCUGGGGUGCGAAGCAGUGCUGGGUGCGCAUCAUGGCUGGAUGAAGCAUCCCCCCCCCAUGGGGGCGGCUAUGUCUCUGGAUGGGAGCUGGGCCCUUCCUGGGGAUCACCCCAGCUGCAGUGUUCGCCUCUCUUGUUCCCCCUCCGGGGGUGCCGGGCCGGCAUUCUGCCUCGGCCGACACCUAGCAGCUGACUUGGAACUGAUGCGGCCCAGGGGAAUCUGACUGUUUAAUUAAAACAAAACAUUGCAAAGGCCCGUGGAGGGUGUUGACACAAUGUGAUUUCUGCCAAGUGCUCUGAAUGUCAAAGUGAAGAAAUUCAAUGAAGCGUGGGUAAACGGCUGGGUUAACUAUGACCUUUAAGGUAGCCAAAUGCCUCGUCAUCUAAUUAGUGAUGUGGAUGAAUGAGAUUCCCACUGUCUCUACCUACUAUCUAGCCAAACCACAGCCAAGGGAACAAGCUUGACAGACUCGGUGGGGAAAGAAGACCCGGUUGAGUUUGACUCUAGUCUGGCACUGUGAAGAGACAUGUGAGGUAGGAUAAGUGGGAGGCCCUCGGCCGCUGGUGAAAUACUACUACUCAUUGUUUUUCCACUUACCUGGUGAGGCGGGGGGCGAUCCCGUGGGGCUUUUGCUCUAGCUCCAAGCGCCCGGCACCUGCCGGGCACGACCCGCUCCAGGGGCAGGUGGGGAGUUUGACUGGGGUGGUACACCUGUCAAAGGAUAACACAGGUGUCCUAAGGCGAACUCCGGGAGGACAGAAACCGUGGAGCAGAAGGCAAAAGCUAGCUUGAUCUUGAUUUUUCAGUAUGAAUCCAGACCGUGAAAGCUGACUUUUUGGGUUUCAAGCAGGAGGUGUCGCAGAAGUUACCACAGGGAUAACUGGCUUGUGGCGGCCAAGCCUUCAUAGCAACAUUGCUUUUUGACCCUUCGAUGUCGACUCUUCCUAUCAUUGUGAAACAGAUUUCACGAAGCAUCGGAUUGUUCACCCACUAAAAGGGAACGUGAGUUGGAUUUAGACCGUCGUGAGACAGGUUAGUAUUACCCUACUGAUGAUGUGUUGAUGCAAUAGUAAUCCUGUUCAGUACGAGAGGAAUUGCAGGUUCAGACAUUUGGUGUGCAUGCUUGGCUGAGAAGCCAAUGGGGUGAAGCACCCAUCUGUGGGAUUAUGACUGAACGCAUCUAAGUCAGAAAUCCCCCCACCCUGAGACCGUGAUUACUGCAGCGCUGUCGAGCAUCGGUUGGCUUAGGAUAGCCAGCUUCAGGGGCGGUGUGUAGAGCCGCUCGCCUCUGGACUUGAGUCUGGACGGAAGGGGGCCACCUAUCUCACCCGUAGUGCAUCGCAUGUUAGUGGGGAAUCUGGUGCUAAAUCAUUCGUAGACGACCCGAUUCUGGUUCAGGGUUUCGUAAGUAGCAGAGCAGCUACCUCGCUGCGAUCUAUUGGAAGUCAUCCUCUGA